This is a long non-coding RNA of Galeopterus variegatus (Sunda flying lemur), 438 nucleotides long. RefSeq lists it as uncharacterized. NCBI's taxonomy places the organism in Eukaryota, Metazoa, Chordata, Mammalia, Dermoptera, Cynocephalidae. The record is from RefSeq and is a predicted model, not a curated record. The transcript is spliced from 3 exons.
GAGUAGGGUGGGACCCUCAUCUGACUAGAGCCUUAGCAAAGAGAAUGCCAUGUGAAGAGAAAGAGACAUGCAUAGAGGGAAAAGGACGUGAAGAGACACAGGAUGAAGAUGACCAUCUACAAGCCAGGGAGAGAGGCCUGGAGCUGAUCCUUCCCUCGCAGCCCUCAGGAGGAACCAACCCUGCUGAUACUUGGGUCUCUUCCAAAGUGUGAUUAUUGGAUGGAAUCUGUGUGAAGUGCAGGUGGUGAAGUGCUUGGCUAUACCUCAAAAGAUAUGCAAUUAACAGGAGGGAAAGGAGGUGGCAGGGUGUGACUGAAGCAGGGAAGAGCCAGCAAGCCACCACUGCAGUGCUGAGACUGCACGCAGCCCCAAACUUCACAGAAAGGCCUGCAACAUCAUGUCAAGAUUCGAUGCUCCAAUAUUCCCUCCAAGUGGCUA